This 911-nucleotide ribosomal RNA is filed under the name Diplodia seriata. RNAcentral's name for it is "eukaryotic LSU rRNA". The stretch from base 160 to 313 matches the Rfam family "5.8S ribosomal RNA". Lineage: Eukaryota; Fungi; Ascomycota; Dothideomycetes; Botryosphaeriales; Botryosphaeriaceae. The record is from RNAcentral.
UUCGGCUCGAUCUCCCACCCUUUGUGACAUACCUCUGUUGCUUUGGCGGCUCUUUGCCGCGAGGAGGCCCUCGCGGGCCCCCCCGCGCGCUUUCUGCCAGAGGACCUUCAAACUCCAGUCAGUAAACGUCGACGUCUGAUAAACAAGUUAAUAAACUAAAACUUUCAACAACGGAUCUCUUGGUUCUGGCAUCGAUGAAGAACGCAGCGAAAUGCGAUAAGUAAUGUGAAUUGCAGAAUUCAGUGAAUCAUCGAAUCUUUGAACGCACAUUGCGCCCCCUGGCAUUCCGGGGGGCAUGCCUGUUCGAGCGUCAUUACAACCCUCAAGCUCUGCUUGGUAUUGGGCGCCGUCCUCUCUGCGGACGCGCCUUAAAGACCUCGGCGGUGGCUGUUCAGCCCUCAAGCGUAGUAGAAUACACCUCGCUUUGGAGCGGUUGGCGUCGCCCGCCGGACGAACCUUCUGAACUUUUCUCAAGGUUGACCUCGGAUCAGGUAGGGAUACCCGCUGAACUUAAGCAUAUCAAUAGGCCGGAGGAAAGUUCUCGGGCUUCGGCUCGAAUCUCCCACCUUUGUGAACAUACCUCUGUUGCUUGGCGGCUCUUGCCGCGAGGAGGCCCUCGCGGGCCCCCGGGCGCUUUCUGCCGAGGACUUCAAACUCGUCAGUAAACCUUCCACUCGGAUAAACAGUUAAUAAACUAAAACUUUCACAACGGACUUUUGGUCUGGCAUCAUAAAGACGCACGGAAUGCAUAGUUAUGUGAUGUGCAGAAAUCAUGGAAUCUCAUCUUGACGCAAUGGCCCCGGCAUUCCGGGGGCAUGCGUUCAGCGCGAUUCACCUAGGCUGCGUGGGUAUGGGGGCGCUCUCUCGCGGAGCCCUUAAGACCUCGGUGUCGUUAUCACUACGGUGUAGUA